RNAcentral lists this ribosomal RNA (117 nucleotides) under Paenibacillus macerans. Lineage: Bacteria; Bacillati; Bacillota; Bacilli; Caryophanales; Paenibacillaceae. The record is from RNAcentral. RNAcentral also lists the same sequence under 7 other names.
UUUGGUGAUGAUGGCGGAGGGGUUCCACGCGUACCCAUCCCGAACACGACCGUUAAGCCCUCCAGCGCCGAUGGUACUUGGACCGAAGGGUCCUGGGAGAGUAGGACGUCGCCAAGC